Molecule: signal recognition particle RNA, 89 nt
Filed under: pig gut metagenome
Description: Bacterial small signal recognition particle RNA
Rfam family: Bacterial small signal recognition particle RNA
About the family: The signal recognition particle (SRP) is a universally conserved ribonucleoprotein involved in the co-translational targeting of proteins to membranes. Archaeal SRP consists of a 7S RNA and homologues of the eukaryotic SRP19 and SRP54 proteins.
Source: RNAcentral
UGGUUUCCUGGCAAUAAACUAUUGUGAACCGUGUCAGGUCCGGAAGGAAGCAGCACUAGCAAGAGGUUUGUGUGUCUAGGGUCGGCUGA